Molecule: ribosomal RNA, 326 nt
Filed under: uncultured eukaryote
Lineage: Eukaryota
Description: partial 18S ribosomal RNA
Rfam family: Eukaryotic small subunit ribosomal RNA
Source: RNAcentral
CCCUUAGAUGUUCUUGGCUGCACGCGCGCUACACUGAUGCACUCAACGAGUUUACGACCUUGCCCGAUAGGGUUGGGUAAUCUUUUUAAAAUGCAUCGUGAUGGGGAUAGAUUAUUGCAAUUAUUAAUCUUCAACGAGGAAUUCCCAGUAAGCGCGAGUCAUCAGCUCGUGCUGAUUACGUCCCUGCCCUUUGUACACACCGCCCGUCGCUCCUACCGAUUGAGUGCUCAGGUGAAUAAUUCGGACUGCAGCAAUGUUUGGAUCCCGAACGUUGCAGCGGAAAGUUUAGUGAACCUUAUCACUUAGAGGAAGGAGAAGUCGUAACA